UCUCGUGGCCCUCUCCGGCGCCCAAUGGUCGAUCGAAGCUUCCGUAAUCACUAUGCAGACUCGUGACCUUGGGGUCCAAUACCAUCCUGCGAACAGAAGACGCAACUAUUAUCGCAAUUGCUCGUCGCACCGCAUGUCGGAUAAGUCGAACAACAGUCCCGAGAAGUUGAAAAAUUUCGUGAAUAUUUUUUAUUUGAAAAUAUAUAUAUAUAUUUAUAUUUAUAUUGGGUGGCUUUAGGUAGAAAAAAAAUAAGUUUUUUUAAUUUCUUUUCAACGAGUUCUAAGAUGAAAGAUAAUAGCGGUGAACGAAAAUGAAACUUCGAAGCGAUAUUACGUUCGAGAUUUUCUAACCAGCCUCGAUCUCACGCGGUGAAAUCCGCUCAACAGUUGAACAAUUUAAUGGCGCCACGGAGGAACGAUAGUUAUCAUCGCAUUGGUGGAGUAAAAGGUUAUCGUGUUAAGGAUACGUGUUGACGUGGCUCGCUUUAAAAGCGACCAGCCUGAAAUCCUGGAAUGGGCGAGGCCGACCAGAUAUCCGGGCAGGAAGUUUGCGGAAAGUGCAGAGACAUUCCGCUGAUAAUAGCCUCAUGAUCGCGAUGACGGAGGAAAACGUUAACGAUUAUUAUCAUAACGUGACAGAUUGUUGUUGAAAGAUUGUUUGAUCUUAUAAGUAUUCCAAAUGCUCGCUAUAUUUUACGAAAAAUAUUUAUUAUUUCAUUCUACACCGUAUUUUUUAAUGCAUAAUACAAUUAUUAUACCGUUAUUCGAAUGGUAAUUUAACAUAAUCAUUAGUCUAUCUUGAAAUAUCUAUAUAUUUUAUUUUAUUUAUUUUACACUAAUUUAUUUGUUGACUCGAAAAAAUUUAAAUCAAAAUAAAACUCAUAAGAUAAGCUUGAAAUACGUGUACAAUGAAAGGAUUAAAAAUUAAAUAUUUAAAUAAAGAAAAUAAUUUUGUAAUCGACGGAACACAAAACCGUGUUGCAAUAAAGUAAAAAAAAUAAAAAAAAGAAAAAGGAAGAAGUUGGAUCAAAUUCCCUUUAUAAUUUAACUAAUUUCCGGUAAUCGAUUUUAACGCUUCGCUAAUUUAUGGCUUCCAACUUUAAUCGUCUGACACAAUAAAUUCAUUCGGAAAUUAUUUGUACUGUUAUCUGAUAAUGAUUUUAAUUAACUUCGCGUCAAGAGAUUGCAAACAAUUGAAAACGCGAGUUGCAAUUAAUUGCGGAUUUAUUUUUAGAAACGUGCUAACGUUUGCAAAAAUUGUUGAUUGGUUUCUUUUUUCUUUUCUCUUUUUCCCUUUUGUUAUUUACAUUCAAAAGAUUCUUUCCAUUCAUGACGAAGAAUAAAAUGAUGGGAAAGAAGAAAAGCUCAAUCGUGGGUGGCGCCGACCGAUAAGAGGACUUCUUGUAGGCGGAUCUUUGGUUUUACGUAUUGAAUAAAAUGAUAAGUUCUGCGUAGAUAAUUCGAUGGUUGGUUGAUCAAGUGACAUAAAAACAAACGAUGUUUUAUGUUGUUUGAGAAGAUAAUAAAUGAAAUAUUUAACAUCAAAUGUGGAAUUAUAAGCAGAAUUAUGGUGUACAGAAUUAAAUUAUAUACAAUGAUUAAACGAUUAAAUUUGUGUAAUUUUCUGCAAAUUUGUUAGAAUUUCUAAAAUAUGAAGUAUUGCUUUUAAUCUUUUAAUCUUUUUAUUAAAUUUUUUUAUUAAAUUACUCUUUGAAGAUUAUCUGAUUUACUAAUCUGAUAUUAACUUUUUAAGAUAAGUGAGUAACAAUAUGUGAGUAAAUUACAUACGUGAUUAAUCAUCAUAAAAUUUGAUCAGAUAAAAAUUAACAGAUAACAUAGAUCUUAUGACAUUGUUU
Molecule: long non-coding RNA, 1856 nt
Filed under: Apis dorsata (giant honeybee)
Lineage: Eukaryota; Metazoa; Arthropoda; Insecta; Hymenoptera; Apidae
Description: uncharacterized LOC102673205
Source: RNAcentral